This 496-nucleotide ribosomal RNA is filed under the name uncultured bacterium. RNAcentral's name for it is "partial 16S ribosomal RNA". It matches the Rfam family "Bacterial small subunit ribosomal RNA", at positions 28 to 506 of the family's 1533-position model. The record is from RNAcentral.
GAUGAACGCUGGCGGCGUGCCUAAUACAUGCAGGUCGAGCGAACAGACGAGGAGCUUGCUCCUCUGACGUUAGCGGCGGACGGGUGAGUAACACGUGGAUAACCUACCUAUAAGACUGGGAUAACUUCGGGAAACCGGAGCUAAUACCGGAUAAUAUAUUGAACCGCAUGGUUCAAUAGUGAAAGACGGUUUUGCUGUCACUUAUAGGUGGAUCCGCGCCGCAUUAGCUAGUUGGUAAGGUAACGGCUUACCAAGGCAACGAUGCGUAGCCGACCUGAGAGGGUGAUCGGCCACACUGGAACUGAGACACGGUCCAGACUCCUACGGGAGGCAGCAGUAGGGAAUCUUCCGCAAUGGGCGAAAGCCUGACGGAGCAACGCCGCGUGAGUGAUGAAGGUCUUCGGAUCGUAAAACUCUGUUAUUAGGGAAGAACAAAUGUGUAAGUAACUAUGCACGUCUUGACGGUACCUAAUCAGAAAGCCACGGCUAACUACGU